Nicotiana tabacum (common tobacco) is the source of this 1262-nucleotide long non-coding RNA. RefSeq lists it as uncharacterized. The record is from RefSeq and is a predicted model, not a curated record. Lineage: Eukaryota; Viridiplantae; Streptophyta; Magnoliopsida; Solanales; Solanaceae.
UCGGUCUAACCCGCCAACCCGACCCGUCCGUGCCAUUUAUCACAUUUCCCCCAAAUUCCCCAAACCCUAGAGAAAUCAGAAACGGCGCUGGGGGGCUAUUCAUCGUCUUCCUCAGCCUUCAACUCGCCAUAACUCACCCGAGUUCACUCAAAAUGGUUCCCUCCUCCACGUCAUUUGAUUCCCAACGGUUUUUGUCAGAAGGAAUACGAAUAUUCCCUCAAAAUCGCACGACAUCUGUACUAUAGGAACGAUUUGUUGGAUGAAUGGGAGCCGACGAUAGAUGUAAAUCGAUCCACGCCAUCUAUGUGUCCCAAAAAUUGUUCAAAAAUUUGAAGGUUUUUUGAAUUUUGGGCAGAGGUUCGAGAUUUUUGAAGGCUAUAUAUAUGAGGUAAGUUCUAUGUGCUAGGUUAGAAGAAAAAUCAAAAAACAAUUGAAAAUAUCUUCAAAAAAAUUUGAGUCGAGUUUCUAGGGUUUGAAGUUAUUAUUUUCUUCAAGCCAUUUCUUUUGGUCUGCUUUAUUUUUUCUAGAAGAAUAUACAAAAUAAAUAUUUUGAGCUCAUCUUUGGUUGGAGUUCAUUUCAUUUUUUUGAAGAGAAAAACUGAAAAGGCUAUUGGAACAAAUAUCUUUUACCCUUGCUUCUUUUCCUGAUUUCUGGUUUUAAAAGAAAGUUUUGCAUUAAACUUCGAGUUAUAGUUUAUGUUUGGGUUCCGAACUUUUGGCAUUUAGGAUUUUCUGUCCAAUUUUCAGUUGAGAUUUGGAUUUAUUUGGCUGGUCUGUGAAGCUGCUGUUAUUAUCGUUGAAUCUCUUCUCCCAUCUCAAGAGCUUUGCUUGAUAUUUUCAGUUAUUUUUGCUAAUAGAACUCCUACUCGUAUGAAUGGAAAAUGAAUCAUGAAUUCUAUGAAAGUCAAGCAAUCUCCUGUGGACCUAAUGCACAAAUUUUCGGCAGUUCCUGAUUAUCAAAUUUUAUAUUGAAAAUGAGCAUUUGUAAAUGUGACUGUUUCAAUUUGUAAAUUUGAGUAAAAUGAUACUACAAGUCAAUUGUCUCCCUGUAAUUGAAUUGGAGUGCCUGUAUUUGUACUAUUUUUGUUUCUUUUUGUGCCAAGAUAGUAGUGUUCAAUUUCAAGUUUGCCUUAAUGAAAGUGGCACCAGAAUGUUAGCUAAAACGAGGUUCACAACUAAGGUGUACACAAAGUUUUUCUUUUUUGUAAUAAGGAGAAACACAAUUAUACAUUUGAUAUAGAGGUUGCAAAUUUUUCUCUUAA